This 858-nucleotide ribosomal RNA is filed under the name Sarcocystis taeniata. RNAcentral's name for it is "SSU rRNA". It matches the Rfam family "Eukaryotic small subunit ribosomal RNA", at positions 242 to 1064 of the family's 1831-position model. The record is from RNAcentral. Lineage: Eukaryota; Apicomplexa; Conoidasida; Eucoccidiorida; Sarcocystidae.
GGCUUGGUGAUUCAUAGUAACCGAACGGAUCGCAUUAUAGUCAUUUUGUAUGGCUGGCGAUAGAUCAUUCAAGUUUCUGACCUAUCAGCUUUCGACGGUAGUGUAUUGGACUACCGUGGCAGUGACGGGUAACGGGGAAUUAGGGUUCGAUUCCGGAGAGGGAGCCUGAGAAACGGCUACCACAUCUAAGGAAGGCAGCAGGCGCGCAAAUUACCCAAUCCUGACUCAGGGAGGUAGUGACAAGAAAUAACAACACUGGAAAUUUUAUUUCUAGUGAUUGGAAUGAUGGGAAUUUAAACCCCUUUCAGAGUAACAAUUGGAGGGCAAGUCUGGUGCCAGCAGCCGCGGUAAUUCCAGCUCCAAUAGCGUAUAUUAAAGUUGUUGCAGUUAAAAAGCUCGUAGUUGGAUGUCUGCUGGAAGCAAUCAGUCCGCCCUAUUUGUAGGGUGUGCACUUGAUGAAUUCUGGCAUCUAUGUCCCGAUAAGAGAACGGGCGUCACAUUAGCUGUUGGGCGAAAGCUCAAGAGCGUGUGGUCGUCCGUUUAUUGGGAUAAUACUGUUACUUUGAGAAAAUUAGAGUGYUUGAAGCAGGCUAAUUGCCUUGAAUACUGCAGCAUGGAAUAACAAUAUAGGAUUUCGGUUCUAUUUUGUUGGUUUCUAGGACUGAAAUAAUGAUUAAUAGGGACAGUUGGGGGCAUUCGUAUUUAACUGUCAGAGGUGAAAUUCUUAGAUUUGUUAAAGACGAACUACUGCGAAAGCAUUUGCCAAAGAUGUUUUCAUUAAUCAAGAACGAAAGUUAGGGGCUCGAAGACGAUCAGAUACCGUCGUAGUCUUAACCAUAAACUAUGCCGACUAGAGAU